This is an RNA transcript of Momordica charantia (bitter melon), 597 nucleotides long. It is a transcript of the gene named signal peptidase complex subunit 1 pseudogene, with no coding region annotated. Lineage: Eukaryota; Viridiplantae; Streptophyta; Magnoliopsida; Cucurbitales; Cucurbitaceae. The record is from RefSeq and is a predicted model, not a curated record.
UUUUUCUUCAAAAAUUCGCUCUGAACUUCUGCGCACAUAUAUGGUUCGGCCACCGUGACCCGCCCCUCCCCUUCCUUACUCUCACUUGGCAUUCUGUUAGAUCCUUCGACGAGUACAUACCAAUGGAUUGGCAAGGGCAAAAGCUUGCGGAGCACUUGAUGCAGAUAAUGCUGCUGGUAUUUGCAGCGGUGGCGUUCGCGACAGGCUAUACGAUCGGAUCAUUCAGGACGAUGAUCCUCGUCUACGCCGGUGUCGUGGUUUUCACCGCAUUGGUUACUGUUCCGAAUUGGCGUUUCUUCAAUCGCCACCCUCUCAAGUGGCUGGACCCUAGCGAAGCCGAGAAGCAUCCUAAGCCCCAAAAACCUGUGAAUCCAAAUCCAAAGAAGAAAUCCACCAAGUAGUCAUCAAGCUAGUGAGUUUAAAUUAAUUGCUUUGUUCUUAGAAUUAACAAUAAGAACCCUUUAGGGUUUGCUUCAACUUUUAAUUUGGAUGUAAUGUACUGCAUAAUUAGCUAAAAUGAGACCAUCCAUGGAUAUUUCCUGACUCAUGAACUUGUGUGUUUGUACCCAUCUUAAAAUUUUUUAUAGCUUUUUAGUU